CAGUCGCCACGGUAAUACGUAGGUGGCAAGCGUUGUCCGGAAUUAUUGGGCGUAAAGGGCUCGCAGGCGGUUUCUUAAGUCUGAUGUGAAAGCCCCCGGCUCAACCGGGGAGGGUCAUUGGAAACUGGGAAACUUGAGUGCAGAAGAGGAGAGUGGAAUUCCACGUGUAGCGGUGAAAUGCGUAGAGAUGUGGAGGAACACCAGUGGCGAAGGCGACUCUCUGGUCUGUAACUAACGCUGAGGAGCGAAAGCGUGGGGAGCAAACAGGAUUAGAUACCCCAGUAGUCCCUGUCUCUUAUAA
RNAcentral lists this ribosomal RNA (301 nucleotides) under uncultured bacterium. RNAcentral describes it as "partial 16S ribosomal RNA". It matches the Rfam family "Bacterial small subunit ribosomal RNA", at positions 509 to 809 of the family's 1533-position model. The record is from RNAcentral.